CUUGAACGCUGGCGGCAGGCCUAACACAUGCAAGUCGAACGGUAACAGGAAGCAGCUUGCUGCUUUGCUGACGAGUGGCGGACGGGUGAGUAAUGUCUGGGAAACUGCCNGAUGGAGGGGGAUAACUACUGGAAACGGUAGCUAAUACCGCAUAACGUCGCAAGACCAAAGAGGGGGACCUUAGGGCCUCUUGCCAUCGGAUGUGCCCAGAUGGGAUUAGCUAGUAGGUGGGGUAACGGCUCACCUAGGCGACGAUCCCUAGCUGGUCUGAGAGGAUGACCAGCCACACUGGAACUGAGACACGGUCCAGACUCCUACGGGAGGCAGCAGUGGGGAAUAUUGCACAAUGGGCGCAAGCCUGAUGCAGCCAUGCCGCGUGUAUGAAGAAGGCCUUCGGGUUGUAAAGUACUUUCAGCGGGGAGGAAGGGAGUAAAGUUAAUACCUUUGCUCAUUCACGUUACCCGCAGAAGAAGCACCGGCUAACUCCGUGCCAGCAGCCGCGGUAAUACGGAGGGUGCAAGCGUAAAUCGGAAUUACUGGGCGUAAAGCGCACGCAGGCGGUUUGUUAAGUCAGAUGUGAAAUCCCCGGGCUCAACCUGGGAACUGCAUCUGAUACUGGCAAGCUUGAGUCUCGUAGAGGGGGGNAGAAUUCCAGGUGUAGCGGUGAAAUGCGUAGAGAUCUGGAGGAAUACCGGUGGCGAAGGCGGCCCCCUGGACGAAGACUGACGCUCAGGUGCGAAAGCGUGGGGAGCAAACAGGAUUAGAUACCCUGGUAGUCCACGCCGUAAACGAUGUCGACUUGGAGGUUGUGCCCUUGAGGCGUGGCUUCCGGAGCUAACGCGUUAAGUCGACCGCCUGGGGAGUACGGCCGCAAGGUUAAAACUCAAAUGAAUUGACGGGGGCCCGCACAAGCGGUGGAGCAUGUGGUUUAAUUCGAUGCAACGCGAAGAACCUUACC
RNAcentral lists this ribosomal RNA (958 nucleotides) under Escherichia coli. RNAcentral describes it as "bacterial SSU rRNA". It matches the Rfam family "Bacterial small subunit ribosomal RNA", at positions 28 to 975 of the family's 1533-position model. The record is from RNAcentral. Lineage: Bacteria; Pseudomonadati; Pseudomonadota; Gammaproteobacteria; Enterobacterales; Enterobacteriaceae.